This is a small nuclear RNA of Echinops telfairi (small Madagascar hedgehog), 107 nucleotides long. NCBI's taxonomy places the organism in Eukaryota, Metazoa, Chordata, Mammalia, Afrosoricida, Tenrecidae. The record is from Ensembl.
GUGUUUGCUUUGGCAACACAUGUGCUAAAAUUGGAACGAUACAGAGAAGACUAGCAUGGCCCCUGUGCAAGGAUGACACACAAAUUCGUGAAGCGUUCCAUAUUAAA